Oreochromis aureus is the source of this 4267-nucleotide long non-coding RNA. The record is from Ensembl. Lineage: Eukaryota; Metazoa; Chordata; Actinopteri; Cichliformes; Cichlidae.
UGCUGCUUGCUGCACAGGUUGGAGAGGGCGGGGCGGCGGGGGAUUCACUCGCUGGCUGGAGCAGCAUCUAAUAACCAACUCGCAAUAAAAGAAAAGAAAAAAAACAACAAACCAACAAACUAGGGCUGUCAGCCUUAAUGCUGUCACCACGAUUAAAACAUUUAAUGCAAUGAAUCUGUCUGGCGCCCAGAAUGACUCAAGAUCCCUGGAAUUUCUCUGUCAACGCAUUUUGCGCAUUUUGUUCAAAGUUGGUCCAUUAUGCGCUCCACAUGGGUUGAUCGUGUUAAAACUUUUAAUCGCGUUAACGUUGACAGCCCUACAGCAAACACACAAACUGAAGACAUUAUGAUAUAUAAUUAUAAUUUGCACUGAUGUGUUUUCUAAAUUUCAUCACACACAUAUGUGAAACAAACAGGCCAGGACCGCCCCUGACCCCACCCUCAGUUUCUUCUUCUUCCUUGAAAAGACACAGCGCGCACAUGUAAACAAAUGCACAUGUUUUCACGCUUGGACACUUUUGGCUUUAUUGAAAAACUUUAAUCGCCUCGUCAGGAUUAAACAGGGAUGUUCCCUUCUCGGAAAAAUCGCACCAUCCUUGGAUAUUUAGCAAAAGUUGUAUCAUCAGAACAAUGAGGAGGAAAUGGCUGCUGCGACACUGGAGCGUGUCUGCUGGACUUACUGUCUGUGUCUGCAGGUCAGGCUGCGAACACUUCACUUUCCAGCCUCCACUCACAGAUGGAGUCCCCCAUAAUCUUCCUGUUUGUGAUUUCUGGCUCUGUAGCCCUGCAGCAGAAUCUGCAGGUGAAGCUUGGAGAGGACAUCACUCUCCAGUGUCAGAUUACCACAGAUGAAAAAAUCUCAGUGCUGAAGUGGAGCAGACCUGACCUGAACACAGACGGCUACGUCUACUUCUACAGGAACAAACGCUCCUAUGAAAACUACCAACAUCCAUCUUUUCAUGGAAGAGUGAAGCUGAGGGACCCAGAGAUGACAGAUGGGGACGUUUCACUGAUCCUGAACAACAUCACGUUUAAUGACACUGGGAUGUAUGAGUGUCAUGUAGCAGUGAGGAACCCUGUGAGAAGUAAAAGACUUCACACUGAGAUCAGUCACUUCAUUGACCUCACAGUCACAGGUGAAACAGAUGAAAAGUUGUUGCAGCAGCGACUCGUGGAAAGUGAAGCUGGAAAAGUGCAGGAUGUGGGAGAUGUAGUAACUCCAACUGUUAUAAUGGUUGUUUGUUAUGUUGCGGUUGCUGUUAUUGUUGUUGGUUUUCUGACAUUAUUCAUAUUUAAAAGAUUUCAGUUAAAAGGACUAGAUGUUACAGUCCCUGAUAAUGCAUUGCUUUAAAUGGCGAGAAUCUUGAGGGAUGGCUGCUAUGAGGAAAGGCAGCCCAGAGACAUCGUUGUGUGCCUCAACUUUCGGUCUUUUAUCCAGGCUAAUCUGCCAUUUUUAGGAGGAUUAGAGAUCAGAUCUAGAUAUCAUAUUAAGAUUUGGGACACAUCGUCAGUAGUCGACCUUGGAUUCAUCGGGUGUUUCGGCCAUUAUCAUUAGACACCCUCAUCAAGGAGGCCCUGCCAGGGUUGAUCAGGCCCUGGAGUCACUGGUUUAUGUUAAAUUGUUAUUUCUCUUCUUCUUUCUUCUGUUUAGUUUCCUACAGUUUAUUUUCUAUCUAUUCACUGCAACUGAGAAAUAAUGCUUACCUCUUUAGCAUUUAUGAAGCCCUACUUCUUUAAAGGGAUAGAAAAGGUGAUAGAGAGAAAUAAGACAAAAGGGACGAGAUAGGAGAGAGCAGAGAGGAGAGCCGGAAGGGGGGCGCCUGAUCUGGCUUCCCACACCUCCCCGCUGGAUCAGGCUGUACGCUCUACCUCCCCACUGCCUCCCAGAAAAGCGAAGAAGAGCAGAGGGGAGAAGAGCGGAACAUUUCUUUUCUCUCGUGGUUAGCUGACUGCCGUAGCUGCCCAAGUGUUGUCAGCCCUUUUUAGCCAUAGCCAGUGACUGGUCCUCUCAACAGUGUUAGCUAGUUCUCUUAUAGCCUGCAGUUGCGCCUGUCCUCUGAUUCCAGUCUCUCUAAGCAGUUUUGCUGUUGUACUGAAAGCUCCUGCACCCCACUUCCACCGGGCGCACCUUGAUCUUCCAGCCUCUGUCCUCUGCCUCAGCUGCCAAGUUGGCAUACCGCAGCUUCUUACGCUGCUUCCUCCCCUGGUACCAUCAGCUCAAUGACGUACGCAAGUUUUUGGGAGUUAGACCAAAGGUGAGGUCUGGUUGCAGAGUAGUUGUUACGAUCUCUGUGGGGGAAAUUAGCCUCUGAUCCAAGUCCACUUUUAUCUGCCAAUCCCAGAUGCAGCUUUCAGUCUGGAGUAAGAGGAAGUCGAUUUAACAUGUCCGGAAAUAUGAUUUUAUAAAAAGAAACAUUACAGAUUUGAUGAACUAACAUUGAUGGCAGCUUUGCCAGGCAGCUAAGCAACAUGGACUUCUAGUUUAAAAGUGAAAAAUAAGAAAUAAAAAAACUGUUCUGUGGUUAUCAAAAACAUAACAGCUCCUCAAACUCCUCAAAUAAACAGCAAAUUCAGCCUGGAGCUUCUCACUGAAAAUAAACAUAAUAAAAUAAAUAGAAAAUUCUGGAAAAAAAAAUCACAAAAAAUGCUUCUGAUUGGUGCUAAAAAAAGGAUUCAGACUGUAAGAGUUACUGAAUUGUUUGUUGUUUGUUUACUGUCAUCAGUCUGUGUUUGAUGUUGAUCCAGGAUAAUGUGAACCAACGAUCCUUGUAUCGUCACCAGAGUUUGCACAAAGUCGUAUGGUGCUGUUUAAUAACAAAUGUGUGUUUAGCUCAGUGUCAGUGUCCUUUGCACGAGUGGUCAACUGCUGCUUUGAACUCUUUGAUCUAUUUUUUUUGUAAACGCUGUAUACUGGUUUGUUCUGGUUUCUGUCUGUUGUGUAGUAACUGUUCACCUGUACAUCUGCCCUAAUUACCAGUAUGAGGUUCAGAAAUGUCUUGGCCAUCAAAUUAUUAAUUAAUAAUUAAUUAAUAAAAAAUGGAUAAAAACUGAAAAAGGAAACUUGAAAUGUGUCACAACUUUCUUUCAGAUGUGUUUUGUGUCAGUGAUCAUGUCCUGGAAUGAAUGGGGAAGUUUGUAUGACUCAUUACUGUUGACAUUGAUGUGACAUUUUUUUUAUGCUUCAGUGGUUAAUGAGGGGAGUUUGUGAGCUGUAACAAAUGUAACGUUCUCUCUCUUUCUCGUUUUGCUCCCUGCACACAUCCAUCAGUGUGGGUGAAGUCUCUGCACUGUCUCUAAGAUGUUGUCACAGAUGAGUUGUCUCAACGUCCUCCUGAUUACAUUUCUAAUUCCUGCAUCUUCAUGUGAUUGACACUGAAUUGUUUAUUUAUUUACUAUAAGUCAGAGUAAUCUUGUAAAAUGUUUCUUUUUGUGUAUUCUUUUGCACACAUAAUCAGACAAAAAUAAGCAGUGUGCCUACACACCCGUAACUGUCUGCAGUUCUUUGCAACAAUGUGUUGCUGCAGUGAAAUGAACAAACAAAUCUGUCAGAUCUAUCUAUAGCUCAUCAAUCUAUUUUUGCACCAGAGGUUGUGUAGUCAGGCAUGCUAUUACUUGUUGAGCCCAUGAAAAAUGUACUAAAUCUUGUCUGCCAAACAGUUUGUUCUGCUCUUGUUUGGUGUCAUUUAAUUGGCCCAGCUAAAGGGAAAUAAACAGGCUUUCCAACAUUAAAAGAUUUACUGCCAAGAAGGAUUUUUACAACAAAGAAAUAAUCAACCAAACACAAAUUUCCUUCUGUGCUAACUUUAUGUGGUGUAAAUAUUACUAGGGUGACGUACUGUGACGCCACAGCUGGGAGGACACACAGCAUGCUGAGUGUCUAACAUGAAUCUUAUUUUGAUCUAUAAUAAUCCUCCUAUCUUUGUCUCUAAUUGUUGCAUCUACAGGUGAGUGAAACAUGUUUUUAUUUUCAUUAGCAUUAUUUAAAGUAAAGAGUUAUUCAUUAAACUCAAGUGUUUAAUGAUGAAACUGCAGAUGCUGUUGACACUGCUGCAGAUUGUGGGAAGGGGUUAGUUGCUUUUCCAAUAGCAUGUUCAGAGUUUUGUAAAUGCAGUGGUGGGGUUAUAUUUGAUCAGAAAUUAAAAAGCAGUGCAGAUAAUUUGUGUGGAAAUCUGUGAUUUUCAGGCUUAUGUUCAGCUCUCAUACAGACUGAUCACUGAAAAGUGUCUGCAUAACAGGUUAAUGACUCCUAAGUGAAAUGGUGAUCAUAU